This 575-nucleotide ribosomal RNA is filed under the name uncultured bacterium. RNAcentral's name for it is "bacterial SSU rRNA". It matches the Rfam family "Bacterial small subunit ribosomal RNA", at positions 818 to 1394 of the family's 1533-position model. The record is from RNAcentral.
AGUUGUGGCGGGAAUUAACCCCUGCCGUGACGUAGCAAACGCGUUAAGUGCUCCGCCUGGGGAGUACGGUCGCAAGACUAAAACUCAAAGGAAUUGACGGGGGCCGCACAAGCGGUGGAUCAUGUGGUUUAAUUCGAAGCAACGCGCAGAACCUUACCUGGGUUUGAAAUCCUACGAAUCCUGCAGAGAUGUGGGAGUGCUUCGGGGAAUGUAGUGACAGGUGCUGCAUGGCUGUCGUCAGCUCGUGUUGUGAAAUGUUGGGUUAAGUCUCGCAACGAGCGCAACCCCUGUUCUUAGUUGCCAGCAUUAAGUUGGGCACUCUAAGGAGACUGCCAGGGUUAACCUGGAGGAAGGUGGGGAUGACGUCAAGUCCUCAUGGCCCUUAUGUCCAGGGCUACACACGUGAUACAAUGGUAAGUAUAGAGGGAUGCAAACCUGUGAGGGGGAGCCAAUCUAAAAAAGCUUAUCUCAGUCCGGAUUGAAGUCUGCAACUCGACUUCAUGAAGUUGGAAUCGCUAGUAAUCGCAGAUCAGCACGCUGCGGUGAAUACGUUCCCGGGCCUUGUACACACCCCC